RNAcentral lists this ribosomal RNA (493 nucleotides) under uncultured bacterium. RNAcentral describes it as "partial 16S ribosomal RNA". It matches the Rfam family "Bacterial small subunit ribosomal RNA", at positions 27 to 507 of the family's 1533-position model. The record is from RNAcentral.
GAGUGAACGCUGGCGGUAGGCCUAACACAUGCAAGUCGAACGGCAGCACAGUAAGAGCUUGCUCUUACGGGUGGCGAGUGGCGGACGGGUGAGGAAUACAUCGGAAUCUACUUUUUCGUGGGGGAUAACGUAGGGAAACUUACGCUAAUACCGCAUACGACCUACGGGUGAAAGCAGGGGAUCUUCGGACCUUGCGCGAUUGAAUGAGCCGAUGUCGGAUUAGCUAGUUGGCGGGGUAAAGGCCCACCAAGGCGACGAUCCGUAGCUGGUCUGAGAGGAUGAUCAGCCACACUGGAACUGAGACACGGUCCAGACUCCUACGGGAGGCAGCAGUGGGGAAUAUUGGACAAUAGGCGCAAGCCUGAUCCAGCCAUACCGCGUGGGUGAAGAAGGCCUUCGGGUUGUAAAGCCCUUUUGUUGGGAAAGAAAAGCAGCAGGUUAAUACCCCGCUGUUCUGACGGUACCCAAAGAAUAAGCACCGGCUAACUUCGUG